RNAcentral lists this ribosomal RNA (1484 nucleotides) under human gut metagenome. Its description in RNAcentral is "bacterial LSU rRNA". It matches the Rfam family "Bacterial large subunit ribosomal RNA", at positions 850 to 2349 of the family's 2925-position model. The record is from RNAcentral.
UGGUUCUCCCCGAAAUAGCUUUAGGGCUAGCGUCGGAUAUGUGUAGUGGAGGUAGAGCACUGAAUGGGCUAGGGGGCAUAUCGCUUACCGAACCUUAUCAAACUCCGAAUGCCAUAUACAUUUAGUCCGGCAGUCAGACUACGAAUGAUAAGAUCCGUGGUCAAAAGGGAAACAGCCCAGAUCGUCAGCUAAGGUCCCAAAGUGUAAGUUAAGUGGAAAAGGAUGUGGGAUUUCUAAGACAACUAGGAUGUUGGCUUAGAAGCAGCCACUCAUUUAAAGAGUGCGUAAUAGCUCACUAGUCGAGAGAUCCUGCGCCGAAAAUGUCCGGGGCUCAAACUUACCACCGAAGCUACGGGCUUGCGUAAGCAAGCGGUAGGGGAGCGUCGUAAUCGGGCUGAAGUCGUACCGUAAGGAGCGGUGGACUGAUUACGAGUGAGAAUGUUGGCAUUAGUAGCGAGAUGUAGGUGAGAAUCCUACAGGCCGAAUAUCUAAGGUUUCCUCAGGAAGGCUCGUCCGCUGAGGGUUAGUCGGGACCUAAGCCGAGGCCGAAAGGCGUAGGCGAUGGACAAUCGGUUGAUAUUCCGAUACCACUACCAUCGUUAUUAUCGAGGGUGUGACGGAGAAGGAUAGUGUGUGCUAGCGAUUGGAAAUGCUAGUCUAAGCGUUUAGGGAGUUACGGUAGGCAAAUCCGCUGUAACAAUUCUGAGGCGUGAUGGGGAAGGCCAUAUAGGCCGAAGUACAUGAUUCCAUGCUUCCAAGAAAAGCAUCUAGAGAGAGAAGUAGUGCCCGUACCGCAAACCGACACAGGUAGAUGAGGAGAGAAUCCUAAGGCCGGCGGAAGAAUUGCAGUUAAGGAACUAGGCAAAUUGACCCCGUAAGUUCGCGAGAAGGGGUGCCUGCGAGAGCAGGCCGCAGAGAAUAGGCCCAAGCAACUGUUUAGCAAAAACACAGGUCUCUGCUAAAGCGUAAGCUGAUGUAUAGGGGCUGACGCCUGCCCGGUGCUGGAAGGUUAAGGGGAACACUUAGCGCAAGCGAAGGUGUGAACUUAAGCCCCAGUAAACGGCGGCCGUAACUAUAACGGUCCUAAGGUAGCGAAAUUCCUUGUCAGGUAAGUUCUGACCCGCACGAAUGGCGUAAUGACUUGGGCACUGUCUCAACUGCAAAUCCGGCGAAGUUGUAGUGCGAGUGAAGAUGCUCGCUACCCGCGAUUGGACGGAAAGACCCCGUAGAGCUUUACUGUAGCUUAGCAUUGAAUUCCGGUAUUGUCUGUACAGGAUAGGUGGGAGACUGGGAAACUAGGGCGUCAGCCUUAGUGGAGUCAACCUUGGGAUACCACCCUGACAGUACUGGGGUUCUAACAGGACGCCAUGAAUCUGGUGACUGGACAUUGUUAGGUGGGCAGUUUGACUGGGGCGGUCGCCUCCUAAAAAGUAACGGAGGCGUUCAAAGGUUCGCUCAGCUUGAACGGAAAUCAAGCAAAAGAG